Molecule: long non-coding RNA, 1482 nt
Organism: Chelonia mydas (Green sea turtle)
Lineage: Eukaryota; Metazoa; Chordata; Testudines; Cheloniidae
Exons: 4
Source: RefSeq, a predicted model, not a curated record
AAGGGCCAGAAUCCCCCUGGGGAAAUUCAACAAGUGAGACUAUGUUCAUUGGGGACUGUGCUGGGAGGAAGACUAUGCUGAUGGGUCUUGGCCCUGUUCCCCCGUUAAGCCCCCCACUAGGAGGACCACUGCUUUCUUGAGUUCAGUCAUUGGUGCCUGCCCCCUCCUUUGCCAUCCUUACCGUUAUCUGGGAUGAAGGAGGAUUUCUGUACCAGUCAGUCAUAACAGAGGCACAUUUUGGAGAAGGCCAAGGUGAAAGAGUCAUGGAGCCCGUAAGCCCUGCCUGAGCCCAGGGGCCUGGGUAGAUCUCCACAUCAGAGAGCAGGUCCAUGGCUGGAGAGAGGCUUUAAGGGCUUAGUGUUGCAAUAGCCGACUGGAGUUUCAGCUGAGUUUUGGUCACCAUUGAACGAGUGUUAAAGUCUCAGCGCGGUUAUUUUAAAAUAAACCUCUCUUCAUCAGCUUAACAAAUUCCUGCCAUUUCAACAGAGGAUCCAAAGCCGAACACGCUGGGCAUUAGAGUGAACCCAAAUCUCAGGGGCUGCUAUGCCUUCUUCCCAGGCAGCCUCAGUCCCAGGGCCAGGCAGGGCCGAGGUCUGUGGCAGGAUGGGAGGACGAGGUCACCUGUGACAUGAAAAAAUUGCUUCCCCGCGAGCAUGUGUCAGAUCUUUCAAAACAAGGUGCAGCUAACAAGACAAUCAUGUCCUGAGACAGCUAAAGCAGCCACCAGCGCAGUCUGUGAAUAAAGCGUUUGACACUGACUGUAACAUUUAAAGAGAAAUCUCUCUCCAAUCCACUAGCACUAGCCACUGGCAGUGAAAUCUUGAUGGAAGUCUCCUGGUUCAUUCCUGUCAUUACAACUUGCUUGUUUCCACUGUGUAUGUGUCUACGGCUUCCAGAGUUAUGGAUGUUAUUAAGUUUGGAUAUUUUUAUGGACUCACCCACUUACAGUGUACAAGCAAAAUAACCCUUUGUUCUAAUUUAGUUUUUUUCUUUCCCUACAUCCCAUCAAGCAAUUGCUAAUAAAGGACCAAAUAAAUGCAUUCAGAUUGAGCCAUAAUGGAGAGAAAUGCAGUGUCCAAUGAACGGAUCAUUUGCACCCCAAGACUGUAAAGAUGAAUUAUGGUGAUACCCCUUCAAAGUCCUUUUAGUUUAAAAUAUUUCUCCUCGGGAAGAAACAAAAAAAAAAAGCGUAGCAUAUGGAUUUCACCGGGAAGGAUCUGAACAUGCACGAAACAGAACUGUCACAGCCAAAAUUGCUUCAUAUAUCAUAGACCAACACCAGGCAGAUAAUGGCAAACCAGUUCUGAUCAGGGAGUGAUUAUUAUUGCUGAUUCCAAGUGUGAUGCACAGAGCAGACAGGCUUACAGCUUGAUUUUCUUAAAUUGGGCUGACCUUGCAGCGUUGAGAUUCACAAUGGGUUUGCGUUGACCGGUAAAAUAAGGUGCCAACAUGAUGGAGAAGUUAUAAAAGAAGUCAAUCAUC